CCUACGGGGCGCAGCAGGGAGGAAUAUUGGUCAAUGGCCGAGAGGCUGAACCAGCCAAGUCGCGUGAGGGAAUAAGGCCCUACGGGUCGUAAACCUCUUUUGCCGGGGAGCAAGGGCCGGGACGCGUCCCGGCCCGGAGAGUACCCGGAGAAAAAGCAUCGGCUAACUCCGUGCCAGCAGCCGCGGUAAUACGGAGGAUGCGAGCGUUAUCCGGAUUUAUUGGGUUUAAAGGGUGCGUAGGCGGGCUUUUAAGUCAGCGGUAAAAAUUCGGGGCUCAACCCCGUCCGGCCGUUGAAACUGCGGGC
This 305-nucleotide ribosomal RNA is filed under the name uncultured bacterium. RNAcentral describes it as "bacterial SSU rRNA". It matches the Rfam family "Bacterial small subunit ribosomal RNA", at positions 338 to 640 of the family's 1533-position model. The record is from RNAcentral.